This 206-nucleotide non-coding RNA is filed under the name Peptoniphilus sp. RNAcentral's name for it is "T-box sequence". It matches the Rfam family "T-box leader". Rfam says of the family: Uncharged tRNA acts as the effector for transcription antitermination of genes in the T-box leader family. T-boxes are found upstream of many aminoacyl-tRNA synthetase genes and some amino acid biosynthetic genes usually in Gram-positive bacteria. The anticodon of a specific tRNA base pairs to a specifier sequence within the T-box motif, and the NCCA acceptor tail of the tRNA base pairs to a conserved bulge in the T-box antiterminator hairpin. The record is from RNAcentral. Lineage: Bacteria; Bacillati; Bacillota; Tissierellia; Tissierellales; Peptoniphilaceae.
GAAAGGUUUAUGAAGUGAGAAGUAACAUAAUGAUACCUUCCAAGAGAGUUCGGUUUGGUGAAAACGAAUAAGGUUAGUUUUGUGAAUAGGAUCAUGGAAAUUUUCAGGUAAGCUAAUGUGAGCCUGUUACGUUUAAUCGCGUUAUUGAUUGUGAGUGGGUGUAUUAACAUCAAUUUGAGUGGUACCGCGAUUAAGUCGUCUCUUUU